Molecule: ribosomal RNA, 514 nt
Filed under: Nakaseomyces sp.
Lineage: Eukaryota; Fungi; Ascomycota; Saccharomycetes; Saccharomycetales; Saccharomycetaceae
Description: eukaryotic LSU rRNA
Rfam family: Eukaryotic large subunit ribosomal RNA
Source: RNAcentral
UAACGGCGAGUGAAGCGGCAAAAGCUCAAAUUUGAAAUCUGGUACCUUUGGUGCCCGAGUUGUAAUUUGGAGAGUACCACUUUGGGACUAUACUUUGCCUAUGUUCCUUGGAACAGGACGUCAUGGAGGGUGAGAAUCCCGUAUGGCGAGGGUGUUAGUUCUUUGUAAAGGGUGCUCGAAGAGUCGAGUUGUUUGGGAAUGCAGCUCUAAGUGGGUGGUAAAUUCCAUCUAAAGCUAAAUACAGGCGAGAGACCGAUAGCGAACAAGUACAGUGAUGGAAAGAUGAAAAGAACUUUGAAAAGAGAGUGAAAAAGUACGUGAAAUUGUUGAAAGGGAAGGGCAUUUGAUCAGACAUGGUGUUUUGCGCCCCUCGCCUCUCGUGGGUGGGGGACUCUCGCAGCUCACUGGGCCAGCAUCAGUUUUUGCGGCAGGACAAAACCUUGGGAAUGUGGCUGCGCACUUCGGUGUGUCGUGUUAUAGCCCUUGGGAAUACUGCCAGCGGGGACUGAGGACU